This 465-nucleotide ribosomal RNA is filed under the name uncultured bacterium. RNAcentral describes it as "partial 16S ribosomal RNA". It matches the Rfam family "Bacterial small subunit ribosomal RNA", at positions 28 to 507 of the family's 1533-position model. The record is from RNAcentral.
GACGAACGCUGGCGGCGUGCUUAACACAUGCAAGUCGAACGGAAAGGCCCUGCUUGCCGGGUACUCGAGUGGCGAACGGGUGAGUAACACGUGGGUGAUCUGCCCUGCACUUCGGGAUAAGCCUGGGAAACUGGGUCUAAUACCGGAUAGGAGCCAUUUUUAGUGUGAUGGUUGGAAAGUUUUUUCGGUGUAGGAUGAGCUCGCGGCCUAUCAGCUUGUUGGUGGGGUAAUGGCCUACCAAGGCGGCGACGGGUAGCCGGCCUGAGAGGGUGGACGGCCACAUUGGGACUGAGAUACGGCCCAGACUCCUACGGGAGGCAGCAGUGGGGAAUAUUGCACAAUGGGCGCAAGCCUGAUGCAGCGACGCCGCGUGGGGGAUGACGGCCUUCGGGUUGUAAACUCCUUUCGCUAGGGACGAAGCUUUUUGUGACGGUACCUAGAUAAGAAGCACCGGCUAACUACGCG